RNAcentral lists this long non-coding RNA (232 nucleotides) under Lathyrus oleraceus (garden pea). Its description in RNAcentral is "Pisum sativum (pea) long non-coding RNA (PSAT_LNC032356)". Lineage: Eukaryota; Viridiplantae; Streptophyta; Magnoliopsida; Fabales; Fabaceae. The record is from RNAcentral.
GCUUCAUCACAUAUCAGAUUCCAUUCCACUUUUAUUUUCCAUUAGGUAAUCAUCUCUUCCAUGGCCAUGUUUUGAUAUAUCUACGCUUGAUUACCAUGUUCAUCACCAUUAAUCCUUCCAUUUUCAUAUUUCUUUUUCUUAUUUAAAAUAUUUUCUUCGUCCAUAUUAUUACCCAAUUUUUUUUUCACUUUUCUUUACGUUAUAUUUAAUUUUAUAUAAUUUUUAUUUUCGU